This 420-nucleotide ribosomal RNA is filed under the name uncultured bacterium. Its description in RNAcentral is "bacterial SSU rRNA". It matches the Rfam family "Bacterial small subunit ribosomal RNA", at positions 31 to 496 of the family's 1533-position model. The record is from RNAcentral.
GUACGCUGGCGGCACGCCUAACACAUGCAAGUCGAACGAAGUAGCAAUACUUAGUGGCAGACGGGUGAGUAACAUGUGGGUAUCUACCCUUUGGCCUGGAAUAACACGAGGAAACUUGUGCUAAUACCGGAUAAGUCUUUACGGAGAAAGCUUUAUGCACCAUUGGAUGAGCCCGCACUUGAUUAGUUUGUUGGUGGGGUAAUGGCCUACCAAGACUUUGAUCAAUAGCUGAUUUGAGAGGAUGAUCAGCCACAUUGGGACUGAGACACGGCCCAAACUCCUACGGGAGGCAGCAGUGGGGAAUCUUGCACAAUGGAGGAAACUCUGAUGCAGCGAUGCCGCGUGAGUGAAGAAGGCCUUUGGGUUGUAAAGCUCUUUCGUCGGGGAAGAAAAUGACUGUACCCGAAUAAGAAGGUCCGG